GAUUUAUUAGCGAAGACUUCCUAUAUCCAAGUACUUAAAGAAAAACGUAACUGUUGUCAAAUGUGCAAUAUAUCGAUAUAAGUUCUAGUUCGAUAAGAUAUAUUAUACUUUAGUAACGGAUACGUCUACGUAAGCUGGCAGCCGCGACGACGUCGGUGUAUCGUCGGGCGAUUGUUAUAAACAAAUUUUACAAUAACAUGUCUCUUGAAGAUCAUGUGAAAUGGAAGCUGGAAAUGGAAUAUUGCACAUCUAAUCUCCUUAUGCUUUACAUUUUUGCUGAGAAUAUAAAUAAACUUAUCCCUGCGUUGCACCGUCGUUUCGGGACGUUCGCCUCCUUGUACAUAAAUAUAUAUAUAAAUAAAAUUAAACGUGAUGGCGAGAUACACUAAGCUGGACGAAAACUUUCGCGAGUUUGAGCGUUGAGAGAAGCGAGCAUUUAGAUUCGAUACAUGGGAAACGAAGUAACCACACCCAUUCUCUAGAAGAAAAGCAAGUUAAGAGUCAUAAUGGAAGUGACACUGCUGUUAUUGUGAAAACACUUAACGAUGGACUAAGGAUCUACAGCGAAUACUCUGUAUCCGAAUGCUCCAACGCAUGCAUAGUAGUCGGCUAGUAUACGUAAUAAAUAAAAUUUCUGAACAAA
Molecule: long non-coding RNA, 643 nt
Organism: Wasmannia auropunctata (little fire ant)
Lineage: Eukaryota; Metazoa; Arthropoda; Insecta; Hymenoptera; Formicidae
Exons: 2
Source: RefSeq, a predicted model, not a curated record